RNAcentral lists this ribosomal RNA (303 nucleotides) under uncultured bacterium. RNAcentral describes it as "partial 16S ribosomal RNA". It matches the Rfam family "Bacterial small subunit ribosomal RNA", at positions 507 to 807 of the family's 1533-position model. The record is from RNAcentral.
AGCAGUAGCCGCGGUAAUACGAAGGGUGCAAGCGUUAAUCGGAAUUACUGGGCGUAAAGCGUGCGUAGGCGGUGAGUUAAGUCUGCUGUGAAAUCCCCGGGCUCAACCUGGGAAUGGCAGUGGAUACUGGCUCGCUAGAGUGUGUCAGAGGAUGGUGGAAUUCCCGGUGUAGCGGUGAAAUGCGUAGAGGUCGGGAGGAACAUCAGUGGCGAAGGCGGCCAUCUGGGACAACACUGACGCUGAGGCACGAAAGCGUGGGGAGCAAACAGGAUUAGAUACCCCUGUAGUCCCUGUCUCUUAUAC